This 143-nucleotide small RNA is filed under the name Arabidopsis thaliana (thale cress). Its description in RNAcentral is "ATSL062450". The record is from RNAcentral. Lineage: Eukaryota; Viridiplantae; Streptophyta; Magnoliopsida; Brassicales; Brassicaceae.
GAACUGUUGUAUUGGACACAAGGACGCAUAAAAACUUAGUCCAGUGGCCAGUUGAGGAAAUCAAAUCAUUGAGACUAAGCAGCAAGAAAUUUGACAUGACUAUUGGACCAGGGACUGUGGUUCCGGUCGAUGUGGGUUCCGCC